AGCUCUAAUAGCGUAUAUUAAUGUUGUUGUGGUUAAAAAGCUCGUAGUUGAAAAUCAGCAGCGCAUAGUCGGUUCCCAUCGCUGGGCUACUGUCUGAUUCUGCUGUCAGCAGUGUACUAUUCCGCGCUGGUGCCUUUAACCGGGUGUCUGUGCGGCAGUACAGCUUUACUUUGAAAAAAUUAGGGUGUUCACGGCAGGCUUUCACGCCUGAAUGAUAGCGCAUGGAAUAAUGGAAAAGGAUUCUUUGCCCUUUUCGUUGGUGUCACGGCGACAGAAUAAUGAUUAAAAGGGACUGCCGAGGGCAUUACUAUUCAAAGGCUAGAGGUGAAAUUCUUGGACCCUUUGAAGAGUCACUGCGGCGAAAGCAUUUGCCAAGAAUGUUU
Molecule: ribosomal RNA, 383 nt
Filed under: uncultured eukaryote
Lineage: Eukaryota
Description: SSU rRNA
Rfam family: Eukaryotic small subunit ribosomal RNA
Source: RNAcentral